UACAUCAUGAGUAUGAUGUAGGCUCAGAUCGAAUGCUAUCUAGAGGCUUAACACAUGCUAAUAAAUAUUUAUAUAUUUGUAUACAGGUGAGUAGACAGGGAUUAAUAACCCUUAUAGAUGCAGGUAGUAGGAGAGUAGCCUCCUAGCCUUAGACCUAUACCCCAUUAUUGACGUAAUAAGGGGCACAUGGUAUAUAUAUACCACUACUCUUAGUAGCAGCAGUGAGGAAUCAUCGACAAUGACCUAACGGUUGAUCGUGUUAUCUAGAUGAGAUUGUUAAUGACUAGUAUGAAGCCUCCCGCCCGCUAUGUUCCAUAGCGGGCGGGUAUUAUUCUACCCCUUAAUGUUAACUUUAUCUCGACCUAUACACUAAGUAUGAUGGUGUAUCUAUAUAUAUUUUAUAUAUAUAGGUUAUGGUUUAGUUCUUACCCAGUGGUGUGCCAGCAGUAGCGGUCAUACACCCAGAGCGAGCAUUGAUCGUCCUUGGCCUAAAGGAUCCGUAGGUGUAUGUUUAUUUACAUAUUGAAUAUAUUAUUGAUAUUUAAGUACAGCUUAUAUAGAGAUAAAAUACUAUUACAUAAGUUAGACUAUAUAGUUAGAAUAUAAUAAUAUAUUGACACUGAGGGAUGACAGCUGUAGUAUCAACGUGGAUUCGAUACCCAUUUAGUUACAGCCGUAAACUAUGUGUACUAUGUAUAAAUAGAAAUAUUAUAUAUAUAUAUAAUUAACAUCUAUUUAUGGAUACAUUAACAUGAAGAGUACACCGCCAGACUAGUACGUCCUCAAGGAUGGAAUGCAAUACAUUAGACGGUCGUAUAUACCUACAGUGGAUCAUGCUGUUUAAUUGGACGAUACACCUUAAACCUUACCUAGUCUUGAAUGUUUUAUAUUUAUUAUAAAUCACAGGCGUUACAUCGUUGUCGUCAGUUCAUGCCUAGUGGUCUCUUGUUGAGUCAGUAAAUGAACGAAACCCUUGAUAGUUGAUUAUAUCCUUACACCCGCCCGCAAUCAAAGAUUGCGGGCGGGGUACUAUGUGUAUAUAUAUAACUAUAUUGCACUACAGACAUGUAGUGGUAAGUAGAGGCUGAAGACUAAUCAUGAUGACCCUUAUGACUAGGGCUACAGGUGUGAUACGAAGUUAUAAUCAAUUAAACUUAUCUUAUCAUUAUAUAUAAGGUUAAUGAAAUUAUAAUUCUAUGCCUAUGAUGCUUAAAUUUGAUUGUCUCCUGCAAUUCGGGAACAUGCAAGCGGAACUGUUAGUAAUCGUAGACUAGAGAGCUACGGUGAAGAUAACCUAUACUUCGCACUAAUCACUCAUCAAUAGCACAGAAGGAAUCUAUAUGCAUUUUGAAAUUAACCUAUAUUAAGUUAUAUUAAUUAACUUAUCAUUAUAUAUUUAUAUUAUAGUCGAUAUAUAUAGAGUUAGAUGCCUUAAAGAUUACUGAUAUGCUAUAAGUUGAAAUACAGUUCGGGUAGGGGAACCUGCUCGGGAUGUAUAAUAAUA
This 1504-nucleotide ribosomal RNA is filed under the name Candida buenavistaensis. Its description in RNAcentral is "small subunit ribosomal RNA". It matches the Rfam family "Bacterial small subunit ribosomal RNA". Lineage: Eukaryota; Fungi; Ascomycota; Pichiomycetes; Serinales; Debaryomycetaceae. The record is from RNAcentral.